Molecule: long non-coding RNA, 1266 nt
Filed under: Lotus japonicus
Lineage: Eukaryota; Viridiplantae; Streptophyta; Magnoliopsida; Fabales; Fabaceae
Description: long non-coding RNA (LJAP_LNC000618)
Source: RNAcentral
AUUGCGUGAGUAGUUGUGUACUGAUGAAGUUAUCUUUAGGUUAAUUGGUUUCUAAUGCUGCGUUUUCUGCUCUCUUUUGGGGUUACAAUGUAUCAUAUUGAGAUAUGGUUUUACAAUACAUACAUAUCAAUCAUGGCAAUACAUCAACCUUCAUUUCUGUUUAGCUAUAUUUUUUUGUAUAAUGUCAUUAAGAUGAGGUAGAUAAUUGUUGACUCAAUGCGUUUAUGUGCGAUGCUUAUAACCAAAUUAUGGUUAGAAGUUAGAAGUUUCUCAAAUGUGUCACUGGAAGAAUCUGCAAUCUGAGGUCACAUACAUUGAGUGUUGAAGUAUGAGCUAUGAUGGUUCCGGAGAAUUUUGAUUACAGGGGAGGCCAGGGCUUUCCUGAAACUUACAAUAGUUCUACAAAAUAUUGGUUUAUAUAAAAUCCCUAAUUUGAUAUUAGAAGAACAAACCAAUAGUGGCAGUUGCAGGGCACGCCACUAUAAGAUAUGAAAUUGAAAUGUUUGAAUGGUGUAUGUGUUGGAGGGGAAUUAAACAUAUGCUUGCUAGGUUGAGUCUGUUGUAUUAGACAUUUAGACUUUUGGCUCAGAUGAUAAAUUAGCUUAGAUUUAUCCUUGUUUGAACCUACAGCAUCUUCUCUAGAGGGUGUAAGGAUGAAUUUGUUAGUUUUACUAAAGGGUCUUCAAUGAAUGUUAACAUUUCUUUUGGCUGCAAAUGAUUAUUUGAAUGAAAAUGUUUCUUGAAUGAUUAUUUGAAUACAUUAUAAACUCAUUCUUCUGUUUGCUAUCAAUCCAUUUUCUAGCAUAGUUGGAAUUGAGAAACUCUCUUGAAAUUUGAUUCAGAAAAAAAUUGCUUGUAGGGUGCCCAAAAAGAUAGAAUUGAGAAACUGCUGUUAUAAUGUACAGUUUCUUUUUUCCUUUGUCAUCAUCCUGUGGAUGCGGAAAAUAAUAAAUCAUGUGAAAGAAUGCAAUACCGUUAAUAAACCUUUCGUUCCCAUCUUUCAACAAAGGAUUUUUUCUUUCUAAUGCUGCGUUUUCUGCUCUCUUUUGGGGUUACAAUGUAUCAUAUUGAGAUAUGGUUUUACAAUACAUACAUAUCAAUCAUGGCAAUACAUCAACCUUCAUUUCUGUUUAGCUAUAUUUUUUUGUAUAAUGUCAUUAAGAUGAGGUAGAUAAUUGUUGACUCAAUGCGUUUAUGUGCGAUGCUUAUAACCAAAUUAUGGUUAGAAGUUAGAAGUUUCUCAAAUGUGUCACUGGAAGAAUCUGC